UACGGAGGGUGCGAGCGUUGUCCGGAAUCACUGGGCGUAAAGGGCGCGUAGGUGGCCGAGCAAGGUCGCGGUGAAAGCCCGGGGCUCAACCCCGGGUCGGCCGUGGCAACUACUGGGCUGGAGCACUGUAGGGGCGGGUGGAAUUCCGGGUGUAGCGGUGGAAUGCGUAGAGAUCCGGAAGAACACCGGUGGCGAAGGCGGCCCGCUGGGCAGUUGCUGACACUGAGGCGCGACAGCGUGGGGAGCAAACAGG
RNAcentral lists this ribosomal RNA (253 nucleotides) under uncultured bacterium. RNAcentral's name for it is "partial 16S ribosomal RNA". It matches the Rfam family "Bacterial small subunit ribosomal RNA", at positions 524 to 776 of the family's 1533-position model. The record is from RNAcentral.